GAUGAACGCUGGCGGCGUGCUUAACACAUGCAAGUCGAACGGAACUACUCCAAUGAGAGUCUUCGGAAAGGAUUUGGUUUAGUUUAGUGGCGGACGGGUGAGUAACGCGUGGGUAACCUGCCCUAUAUAGGGGGAUAACAGUUGGAAACGACUGUUAAUACCGCAUAAGCGCACAGGAGCGCAUGCUCCGGUGUGAAAAACUCCGGUGGUAUAGGAUGGACCCGCGUCUGAUUAGCUGGUUGGCGGGGUAACGGCCCACCAAGGCGACGAUCAGUAGCCGGCCUGAGAGGGUGAACGGCCACAUUGGGACUGAGACACGGCCCAAACUCCUACGGGAGGCAGCAGUGGGGAAUAUUGCACAAUGGGGGAAACCCUGAUGCAGCGACGCCGCGUGAGCGAAGAAGUAUCUCGGUAUGUAAAGCUCUAUCAGCAGGGAAGAAAAUGACGGUACCUGACUAAGAAGCCCCGGCUAACUACGUG
RNAcentral lists this ribosomal RNA (480 nucleotides) under uncultured bacterium. RNAcentral describes it as "partial 16S ribosomal RNA". It matches the Rfam family "Bacterial small subunit ribosomal RNA", at positions 28 to 507 of the family's 1533-position model. The record is from RNAcentral.